AGAGAUUUAGGUUAAUUCAGACCCAGGACCUUCAAAGCCCUAAGCGAGAGUUAAACUCUCUCAAGCUCUG
Molecule: transfer RNA, 70 nt
Filed under: Pseudalutarius nasicornis (rhino leatherjacket)
Lineage: Eukaryota; Metazoa; Chordata; Actinopteri; Tetraodontiformes; Monacanthidae
Description: tRNA-Trp
Rfam family: tRNA
About the family: Transfer RNA (tRNA) molecules are approximately 80 nucleotides in length. Their secondary structure includes four short double-helical elements and three loops (D, anti-codon, and T loops).
Source: RNAcentral